CAUGAGAGUUCUUCACUGGCCAGCACUCUGCCCCAUACAACAUGGCAGGUCUAACCACACCUCUAUAAAAUUUCCCCUUGAGUUUCUGUGGAACUUUCUUGUCACACAGGACUCCUGAUGCAACCCUCCACUUUGACCACCCCGCUCCUAUGCGAUGAGUGACGUCCCCGUCAAUCUCUCCGUCCCCCUGAAUCACCGACCNNNN
Molecule: long non-coding RNA, 205 nt
Filed under: Nicotiana benthamiana
Lineage: Eukaryota; Viridiplantae; Streptophyta; Magnoliopsida; Solanales; Solanaceae
Description: long non-coding RNA (NBEN_LNC009957)
Source: RNAcentral